RNAcentral lists this ribosomal RNA (1721 nucleotides) under Plasmodium vivax Mauritania I. RNAcentral's name for it is "SSU rRNA". It matches the Rfam family "Eukaryotic small subunit ribosomal RNA", at positions 3 to 1521 of the family's 1831-position model. The record is from RNAcentral. Lineage: Eukaryota; Apicomplexa; Aconoidasida; Haemosporida; Plasmodiidae.
CCUGGUUGAUCUUGCCAGUAGUCAUAUGCUUGUCUCAAAGAUUAAGCCAUGCAAGUGAAAGUAUAUGCAUAUUUUAUAUGUAGAAACUGCGAACGGCUCAUUAAAACAGUUAUAAUCUACUUGACAUUUUUUCUAUAAGGAUAACUACGGAAAAGCUGUAGCUAAUACUUGCUUUAGCACUCUUGAUUCAUUUCUUGAGUGUGUACUUGUUAAGCCUUUUAAGAAAAAAGUUAUUAACUUAAGGAAUUAUAACAAAGAAGCGACACGUAAUGGAUCCGUCCAUUUUUAGUGUGUAUCAAUCGAGUUUCUGACCUAUCAGCUUUUGAUGUUAGGGUAUUGGCCUAACAUGGCUAUGACGGGUAACGGGGAAUUAGAGUUCGAUUCCGGAGAGGGAGCCUGAGAAAUAGCUACCACAUCUAAGGAAGGCAGCAGGCGCGUAAAUUACCCAAUUCUAAAGAAGAGAGGUAGUGACAAGAAAUAACAAUACAAGGCCAAUCUGGCUUUGUAAUUGGAAUGAUGGGAAUUUAAAACCUUCCCAAAACACAAUUGGAGGGCAAGUCUGGUGCCAGCAGCCGCGGUAAUUCCAGCUCCAAUAGCGUAUAUUAAAAUUGUUGCAGUUAAAACGCUCGUAGUUGAAUUUCAAAGAAUCGAUAUUUUAAGCAACGCUUCUAGCUUAAUCCACAUAACUGAUACUUCGUAUCGACUUUGUGCGCAUUUUGCUAUUAUGUGUUCUUUUAAUUAAAAUGAUUCUUUUUAAGGACUUUCUUUGCUUCGGCUUGGAAGUCCUUGUUACUUUGAGUAAAUUAGAGUGUUCAAAGCAAACAGAUAUAGCAUUGCGCGUUUGAAUACUACAGCAUGGAAUAACAAAAUUGAACAAGUCAGAAUUUUGUUCUUUUUUCUUAUUUUGGCUUAGUUACGAUUAAUAGGAGUAGCUUGGGGGCAUUUGUAUUCAGAUGUCAGAGGUGAAAUUCUUAGAUUUUCUGGAGACAAACAACUGCGAAAGCAUUUGCCUAAAAUACUUCCAUUAAUCAAGAACGAAAGUUAAGGGAGUGAAGACGAUCAGAUACCGUCGUAAUCUUAACCAUAAACUAUGCCGACUAGGCUUUGGAUGAAAGAUUUUAAAAUAAGAAUUUUCUCUUCGGAGUUUACUCUUAGAUUGCUUCCUUCAGUGCCUUAUGAGAAAUCAAAGUCUUUGGGUUCUGGGGCGAGUAUUCGCGCAAGCGAGAAAGUUAAAAGAAUUGACGGAAGGGCACCACCAGGCGUGGAGCUUGCGGCUUAAUUUGACUCAACACGGGAAAACUCACUAGUUUAAGACAAGAGUAGGAUUGACAGAUUAAUAGCUCUUUCUUGAUUUCUUGGAUGGUGAUGCAUGGCCGUUUUUAGUUCGUGAAUAUGAUUUGUCUGGUUAAUUCCGAUAACGAACGAGAUCUUAACCUGCUAAUUAGCGGCAAAUACGAUAUAUUCUUACGUGGGACUGAAUUCGGUUGAUUUGCUUACUUCGAAGAAAAUAUUGGGAUACGUAACAGUUUCCCUUUCCCUUUUCUACUUAGUUCGCUUUUCAUACUGUUUCUUUUUCGCGUAAGAAUGUAUUUGCUUGAUUGUAAAGCUUCUUAGAGGAACGAUGUGUGUCUAACACAAGGAAGUUUAAGGCAACAACAGGUCUGUGAUGUCCUUAGAUGAACUAGGCUGCACGCGUGCUACACUGAUAUGUAUAACGAGUU